Small nucleolar RNA from Boleophthalmus pectinirostris (great blue-spotted mudskipper), 72 nucleotides. RefSeq annotates it as small nucleolar RNA R38. The record is from RefSeq and is a predicted model, not a curated record. The transcript has a single exon. Lineage: Eukaryota; Metazoa; Chordata; Actinopteri; Gobiiformes; Gobiidae.
UAGAGCCAGUGAUGAUACAAGUUAUCCCUGUCUGAACAUGAAUGUGUGGAGAUAUGGUAACCUGAGGCAACU